RNAcentral lists this RNase P RNA (409 nucleotides) under Treponema sp. RNAcentral describes it as "RNase P RNA component class A". It matches the Rfam family "Bacterial RNase P class A". From Rfam's summary of the family: Ribonuclease P (RNase P) is a ubiquitous endoribonuclease, found in archaea, bacteria and eukarya as well as chloroplasts and mitochondria. Its best characterised activity is the generation of mature 5'-ends of tRNAs by cleaving the 5'-leader elements of precursor-tRNAs. Cellular RNase Ps are ribonucleoproteins. The record is from RNAcentral. Lineage: Bacteria; Pseudomonadati; Spirochaetota; Spirochaetia; Treponematales; Treponemataceae.
GGGGCAGGUCGAACCGUCGCCGUUCCGGUCCUCCCGGAUCGGAGCGGAGGAAAGUCCGGGCUCGCUACGGCACAGCGCCGGCUAACGGCCGGGAGCGGGAUCCGGUCCUCGGACCGCGGUUCCGCUACAGACAGCGCAACAGAGAGCAGACCGCCGAAUGGGCCCGAAAGGGCUCAUGGCAAGGGUGAAAGGGUGGGGUAAGAGCCCACCGCGUCUCCGGCGACGGAGACGGCACGGCAAGCCUCGCUGCGAGCAAGGUCGAGCAGCGGAUGGGCCGCCGGCCCGGCCGCGCCCCAGGGCGCGGCGAUCCGCGGGUUGACCGCUGGAGGCCCCGGGAAACCGGAGGCCGAGAGAGAUGACGGCGGCGCCGAAGGGCGCACAGAACCCGGCUUAUAGACCUGCCCCAUUU